AGCUUUGCGCAGUGGCAGUAUCGUAGCCAAUGAGGUUUAUCCGAGGCGCGAUUAUUGCUAAUUGAAAGAACAUAGAUUUCUGAGUUAGUAGCCUGGCAAAGACCUAGUGUAUGGCUUUGGGAAACAAUGAACCUCUCUCAGCCUCUCUUAUCUCAUCUAUAAAUAGAGG
Molecule: small nuclear RNA, 169 nt
Filed under: Neogale vison (American mink)
Lineage: Eukaryota; Metazoa; Chordata; Mammalia; Carnivora; Mustelidae
Description: Neovison vison (American mink) U4 spliceosomal RNA (ENSNVIG00000008784.1)
Rfam family: U4 spliceosomal RNA (bases 1-69)
Source: RNAcentral